This is a long non-coding RNA of Prunus dulcis (almond), 1344 nucleotides long. RefSeq lists it as uncharacterized. The record is from RefSeq and is a predicted model, not a curated record. The transcript has 4 exons. Lineage: Eukaryota; Viridiplantae; Streptophyta; Magnoliopsida; Rosales; Rosaceae.
UGAACCUAUCAGUAUCUCUGGAUCAUUGCUCACGAUCUUAGCACCAAAAACUUGCCGGUAGAAGCGUGCGGCAGUGGUGACCUCCGACGGAGCCACCACAAGCAGUGGCGUCAGCUCCAUUGAAUAGAAGCGGAGCUAAAUGUGGAAGAGGAAUGAGACAGAGAGCUGAUUGCAGAAAUGAGAGAGCUGAUUGGGGAGAGAAAUGAGAGAGAGCAGAAUUUCAAAAAUCAAGGCGCGGUUUGGGUUUAUAUAGCAGAAGGGAAGCGGUAGUUUCAAAAAUUACAAGCGUGGGUUUGUUCAUAUAACAGAACAGAAGGGAAGCGCCAGAGUUAGUUAUGCGCACGGAAUCUUCUGGAGUCGGAUUUCAUUUUGGGUUAAUUUUUAAUUCAGGUCCGUCCGAGUUUGUUAUUGAUGAUUGAUUUUGGUUUAAUAUUUAUUUCAGGUCCGAGUUAAUUAUUGAUGAUCAGUGAAUGAAUGGGAAUGCAAGGCACAUGUUGAGUUUGGAGCCGAUGGUUUGCCGAGCCCACGAAUAUUCGAUGAGUAUGAUACAGAAUACUCUUUUAUUGAUGAUGCUGAGUUGGAUGAGUAUUUUAAAGUUGACAAUUCAGCAAUAAAACAUGAUGGAUUCUUUGUUAACAGGGGAAAACUGGAACGCAUCGUUACUGCUAAGACAGCAGCAGCAGCUGCAAAGAUUACACUGACACUAGCGAAGAACUCAUCUGCUCCCAUUAUAACCACCGAACACCGUGAAGAUGUGAAAUUUCAGAACUAGUUGGGUGGACAUUCAUCCAGGAAGAAGUCUACUGAUUCUAAAACAAUUCUGGAUCCUUCGCUUUUGAAAGUUUCUGAGGGAGACGCUGAUGCACUGCAAGCGGAGGUUAAGGCUAUUAAUAAGCAGAACGCAGGAGUCCUGUUGUCGAAGGACCCAAGUAACAGGGGGAGGCACUUGGCAAAAGUACAAAGGGAUUAGCUGAACCUAUUCAAGCACACAGCAACAUUGGUAAUGCUCGAGGCAGGCUUUGAGAAUGUGGUGAGGGAGGCAGUGCAAUGGAAAUAACCUGUUGUUCAGCACCUGGUGCAAGCAAGCAAAUGUCAUUGAACCAAAGCUAAAGGCACCUGGUGCAUUCACAUGGGAUUUUCUACUUAAGUCAAUUAUUCUUGAAUCAAAUAUUGGUUUUCGCAAAAUUUGAUUAGAUGAAUGCACUUCUGUCCAUUUUCAAAUAACAACUUAAUUGACCGAUUAGUCAUAUGCGUGUAAAGUCAGCACUUUUUUUCAUGACAUCCACUGGACACAUAUCAUGCAAGACUGUUUUGUUAGAAAGAAAAACACACUUGAAAAACAAA